AGCGUGUUGAAGAGGCGGGCACGGCGGCACAAGAGCUGAACCCCAACCCGGCGAGGGCCACGGGAGCACGAGCAGCGGCGAGCUAGUUACGCUGUACCAGUGGGAGAGAGAGGAUGUUCGCCGUGCGCUCCGUGCUAGAUAUAUGUAGCUAAAGUGUGUGUGAAAACAUCAUACUUUCUAGAUAAAAAAGGAAAGUAACUUAACACUAAGCAAACGCAGGAGAGAAACAUAUAAAGAGAAAAACAACAACUAAGAAUCGUAGUAAUCAUAGUGUAAAUCUGAAGUGAAAAUAAAAAUAGAAAUAAGUGUGUAUAUGAGAUUUUAGAAUUAGAAAUAUAAAGAAAAGGACUGCACAUUUUCGAGGUCAAAUAGCCAGUUGAAGAGAGUGUGACUUAACCUUUGACCUCCAAGAUGGGUCAGCCGUCCCCCUUCGUGGCGGGCGUCGUGGUACUCCUGAUGGGCGUGGCCAUAGGCGUUGGCCACCACCGAACCCGCAGUCGAGAUUCAGACGGAAGCCCCGCCCCCUAGAGCCGAUGCCCCCGUUGCGUUUAAAGGUAAGGCUGCCACAUACCGAAAGACAGCAUCACGGAACAAUUACUGAUCAGGUAUUUACCAAAUGCGGUUACUGAAAAGAGAAAGAAAAAAA
Long non-coding RNA from Penaeus monodon (black tiger shrimp), 646 nucleotides. RefSeq lists it as uncharacterized. The transcript is spliced from 3 exons. The record is from RefSeq and is a predicted model, not a curated record. Lineage: Eukaryota; Metazoa; Arthropoda; Malacostraca; Decapoda; Penaeidae.